Long non-coding RNA from Ficedula albicollis (Collared flycatcher), 2019 nucleotides. RefSeq lists it as uncharacterized. The record is from RefSeq and is a predicted model, not a curated record. The transcript is spliced from 6 exons. NCBI's taxonomy places the organism in Eukaryota, Metazoa, Chordata, Aves, Passeriformes, Muscicapidae.
GGAGGGUUGUGCAUGGGAGGGAAAGAGGGAGGAAAAGAGGAAUGAAGGAGGGAAGGAUGUGCACAGGAGGGAGGGUUAGCGAAGAAAGGGGGAAUGGAGGAGGGAGGUACGGAGGAGGCAAGCCGGAGGGGCAGGCAGGAGAGAAGAGAAGAAAGGGGGCAUAAGAGGAAGCAGCACGGAUGGGCGGAGGGGCAGCGAGAGAAGAACGGGCACUCACAUAGGUUUCAUUUGGACAGAGAGACGAGAGGCCAGCAGCUGCAAACAGCAGAGACAGUAAUGACGUGGUGGCUUCACUGAACUCAACUUUGAAGAAUUUGGUGAUGGUGUAGCACUACUGAUCAGAAAGAGCCUGGACCAGAGCCACAGUGGAAAUCAUGUACUUGGCAAGCAAGCUCCUUCGGCAUUGUUCCACAUGAUCCUAAGCAAGAGGUAUUUGACCUACUUGGAUUCUGUGGAAAACAUCUAUUGACAACACCAUAGGGACUCAAGCAAUGAUUUCUUCUGUAGUAUUCUCUCUUUGGAAACACAUCAGCCUGGGGGACCUCAGACAGCACAGGAGGAUUGGAUUAAGAAUCCUGCCUUCAGGAAGACCAGUGUUAAAAAUGAGUGCUUCAGUUCUGAUUGCCAUGGUCCUAACUUCUCCAGACCUGAAACACAAAGCUUCCCUUGUACUGCAUUCCAUUUCACCUGCUUCUCACUCACCUGAUGUUCUCCCAGGAUUUUCUCAUGUUAUUACUGUGUUGCAGUUACUAUGAGAAAGCAGACUACCCAUUGUUCAAGAAUUCUUGAAAACUGUGAUGACAAUGCAGCAUUAUGAAUGUUUUAAUUCUAGGACCACUUCACAGAAAAUAUCUGAGGUUCCUGCCUGACACUCUGCCUUCCCUGUACUCCUCUGGACUUGUGGAGAUUGGUCCUCAGUGGUCUGAUGGCUUCUGUGAGAGUAGCCUGACAGUAUAAUUUGGAUCCCCCAUCCUUCCACUAUCUCUCUGAGCAUCUUUGUGGGUGUGCAGAACGUUCAAAGAGUGGAUGGGAAGCAGGACCAGGACAGUGAGUGACAUGCCUGAGCACCAGCACUUUCCUUAUCAGCCUGUGCAGUGAGUUCUGUGAAGAAGCAGCGAGCUGGUCAAUGCUGCCCAUUUUCCCUGAUCUGUCAUUGCUACAGGGAAAGGAGCAGGAGGGGAGAAGAUGAGCUUCACUGAGAGUAUGUUUUACCUCUGCUUUGCAAAAACUGAGUUACAGCACCAAAGUCACAGUGAUCCCUGGAAGAUCUAUGUCUCCACCUAUGGAUAGACAGGGAUAAGUAACUGUGUUAACUGUGCAACUGUCUGGUCUUCAGUACUUGACGUUUCUCUAUGCUCUAGGGAAAGUGCCACUGUAGACUCGUGCAGACUAAUUUAACACCUCUAGAAGGUGAUGUUUUUACUUCAGGAAGUUCUACACUAGGAACAUGCUGAUUCAUUUCAGGAUGUGCUUAAGGACAGAUCAGGAACUGGGCAUCAAGACUCCUUUUAGCAACUGAGACUACUGUGGCCUUUUUGAUUGUUGGUUGUUUAGAACCUACUUUUUAAAGGUGAUUGAGAUGUUUUCCUACUUUAAAUUGCAUGUGAUCUGAUUCAAAACCCGGCCAGGUUACAGAGUUUAUAGCAAAAUGCAGUGAUUUGUGUUUUGUUCUCUUCAAAUGAGCACUACCAGUUCCCAUUAAAUCUGACACAACCACAGUGGCAGUCAAGAUCUCUCAGCUGAUAAUCGUUCCUCUUAAAGCAGAUGAAUGGUUAAUUGUGACAUAACGUUCAUAUAAUCUGUAGUAUUUAGCAAAAUGGCAAAUAUGACAUUUUUAAAUAGUGUCUUCUUUCCUGAAGUGGUUUAGUCCUUCUUGCACUAUCUGACAGUCUAGUAGUAUAAAGUCUCACUAAUUUGCCUGUAAAAGAAAGGUGUACUGAAAGAGUUUUAAUGCAGUUUGCAAUAAAACAGGAAAAUUUACUGGCUGUGUCCCUUCAUGAGUUACAUAUGCUGAAUAUA